RNAcentral lists this non-coding RNA (158 nucleotides) under Ureibacillus endophyticus. The record is from RNAcentral. Lineage: Bacteria; Bacillati; Bacillota; Bacilli; Caryophanales; Caryophanaceae.
UUUUGGCGCUUUUUAAAAGCUUAAUAGGGAAGUACGGUGAAAUUCCGUCGCUGUCCCGCAACUGUGACUCGGAGCAUGUCUCAAUUAAGCCACUGCAUAAUUAUGUGGGAAGGCGAGAUAUGUGUUGAAGAGAAGCCAGGAGACCUACCAAAAAUUUC